CUCCAAUUGAACAUUCAUAGGGCAAAUUGUUACAACUCAAAUCCCCCUCCAUCUGUUAGCUUGGCGCCUCUGUCCUGACAGGGCUGAUUGAUUGUAGGACUGUGCUCUGAUCAGGUGAGUGGUGAUUGAGCUGACAAAGCAGUGGUUUACCCCUGCUGAUAGGGAGGUGUAUUCAUCAGAAUCAUAAUGAGCUCUAGUGAUGAAAAAGGAUGGCACCUCUUCUGGUUUGUCCUGGCUGUAUCGUCAUGGUCAGACUUCCAGAUACUGUCAGAAGAGUCUAGCUGUUGUCAGCUCUGGAUGUAGGAAGUGGUGUGACCACAUUGGAGGUGUUUGAUUGAAGAGGACUCUCUGA
This is a long non-coding RNA of Cyanistes caeruleus (blue tit), 352 nucleotides long. The record is from Ensembl. Lineage: Eukaryota; Metazoa; Chordata; Aves; Passeriformes; Paridae.